UGGGGAAUUUUGGACAAUGGGGGAAACCCUGAUCCAGCCAUCCCGCGUGUGCGAUGAAGGCCUUCGGGUUGUAAAGCACUUUUGGCAGGAAAGAAACGUCGCGGGUUAAUACCCCGCGGAACUGACGGUACCUGCAGAAUAAGCACCGGCUAACUACGUGCCAGCAGCCGCGGUAAUACGUAGGGUGCAAGCGUUAAUCGGAAUUACUGGGCGUAAAGCGUGCGCAGGCGGUUCGGAAAGAAAGAUGUGAAAUCCCAGAGCUUAACUUUGGAACUGCAUUUUUAACUACCGGGCUAGAGUGUGUCAGAGGGAGGUGGAAUUCCGCGUGUAGCAGUGAAAUGCGUAGAUAUGCGGAGGAACACCGGUGGCGAAGGCAGCCUCCUGGGAUAACACUGACGCUCAUGCACGAAAGCGUGGGGAGCAAACAGGAUUAGAUACCCUGGUAGUCCACGCCCUAAACGAUGUCAACUAGCUGUUGGGGUCUUCGGACCUUGGUAGCGCAGCUAACGCGUGAAGUUGACCGCCUGGGGAGUACGGUCGCAAGAUUAAAAACUCAAAGGAAUUGACGGGGUCAUAGCUGUUUCCU
RNAcentral lists this ribosomal RNA (586 nucleotides) under uncultured bacterium. RNAcentral describes it as "partial 16S ribosomal RNA". It matches the Rfam family "Bacterial small subunit ribosomal RNA", at positions 355 to 1375 of the family's 1533-position model. The record is from RNAcentral.